GACGAGCCACACGAACGUUAUUCGGAAUUACUGGGCUUAAAGGGUGCGUAGGCGGCGCGAAAAGUUGGGUGUGAAAUACCUCGGCUCAACCGAGGAACUGCGCCCAAGACUAUCGUGCUCGAGGGAGAUAGAGGUGAGCGGAACUUACGGUGGAGCGGUGAAAUGCGUUGAUAUCGGAAGGAACGCCGGUGGCGAAAGCGACGGACUGGACCUCUUCUGACGCUGAGGCGCGAAAGCUAGGGGAGCAAACGGG
Molecule: ribosomal RNA, 253 nt
Filed under: uncultured bacterium
Lineage: Bacteria
Description: partial 16S ribosomal RNA
Rfam family: Bacterial small subunit ribosomal RNA
Source: RNAcentral